Loxodonta africana (African savanna elephant) is the source of this 79-nucleotide non-coding RNA. The record is from Rfam. NCBI's taxonomy places the organism in Eukaryota, Metazoa, Chordata, Mammalia, Proboscidea, Elephantidae.
ACCUAGCGGACGCAAGGGGCCCGGAAGAGGGUUCUGGAAAAGGGGGGUGUGGUGGGUGCUACCGCCGAAGAAAUGGGGG